Lathyrus oleraceus (garden pea) is the source of this 664-nucleotide long non-coding RNA. RefSeq lists it as uncharacterized. NCBI's taxonomy places the organism in Eukaryota, Viridiplantae, Streptophyta, Magnoliopsida, Fabales, Fabaceae. The record is from RefSeq and is a predicted model, not a curated record. The transcript has 2 exons.
AUAAUCAAAAAAGGGGAAAUUACAUGCUUCAAGCCAACGACGCUUAUCCUCAUAUUGAAAAUGCAAACGACAAAACACCACCGAAAACACGUCGUAUUCAUCCAAACCAUCGCAUCAGCAUCAUGUUCAUCAAAUCCUCAGCGUCGCGUAUGAUCCCGUCAUCAAGCAUCGAGUUCGUGAGUUGUAUCGUCGUCAUAUUGCUCGCCAGCAUCGAGCUUAUGGUUAAGCCAAAAUGGAAUUCAAAUUGAAAACAACCAUGCAACAUUAAUGAUCGUCCUAUUGCUUUCCGGAUAAAUGCCUUGGCAAAAUGAAAGUGAAGUCUUCCGAUUGGUACCCUUGCGUUGCGUUAACUGGUUGACGUUUUGUACUCGUGAAUGAUUUUUGGCACUUAUGCGCUCGCGUGUUGGAACGAUUUGUUGCUUGGUUGGAAUGUUUAUGAAGAGUGGAUGGAAUGUUAUGGAGACUUGUAUUGGCUUGGACUCUCUUUUAGUUUAUGCAUUAAACAUUGUAAAUUGUAAUAUAGUUUGAAGAUAUUUGGAUAGGAAACAUGAUUAGAAGUGGAUUGUAGUUUUAAUGCAAAAGUAUGACAAAAGUGUAAUUUGAAUCGAAUUUGAAAUGUGAGUUGAAGUUGAAAUUAUAUUGAAAUGCAAAUUGACGUUUGAAA